Molecule: long non-coding RNA, 502 nt
Filed under: Solanum lycopersicum (tomato)
Lineage: Eukaryota; Viridiplantae; Streptophyta; Magnoliopsida; Solanales; Solanaceae
Description: long non-coding RNA (SLYC_LNC000798)
Source: RNAcentral
GCAAUUCUGCUUUGUCAAAAGUAGAAUCAACAACAGAAGAGGCUGCCUUAGUGUGUUCGCUAUCCUCUGCUCCACUUGCACCUUCUUGACGACCACCGGGAGGAAUUGGAAUAGGAGAUGUAGGUGGCUUUAAAUCUUCAUAACUGCCAAGAUUAAAUCAGUCAGCAAAUAAGAUACACUAUGCUUGCGUGUAAGUAGUUGGAUUAACUCAGGAAUGACUUAACGCAGUGUAUGGAGACAAAGGCCUUGUAGUCAGCAAUUCUGCUUUGUCAAAAGUAGAAUCAACAACAGAAGAGGCUGCCUUAGUGUGUUCGCUGUCUUCUGCUCCAGUUGCACCUUCUUGACGACCACCGGGAGGAAUUGGACUAGGAGAUGUAGGUGGCUUUAAAUCUUCAUAACUGCCAAGAUUAAAUCAGUCAGCAAAUAAGAUACACUAUGCUUGCGUGUAAGUAGUUGAACUAACUCAGGAAUGACUUAACGCAGUGUAUGGAGACAAAGGCCU